UGAGGAAUAUUGGUCAAUGGGCGGGAGCCUGAACCAGCCAAGUCGCGUGAGGGAAGACGGUCCUAUGGAUUGUAAACCUCUUUUGUCGGGAGCAAAGAGACCACGUCGUGGUCAAAAGCAGAGAGUACCCCGAAGAAAAAGCAAUCGGCUAACUCCGUGCCAGCAGCCGCGGUAAUACGGAGGAUGCGAGCGUUAUCCGGAUUUAUUGGGUUUAAAGGGUGCGUAGGCGGGACGGUAAGUCAGCGGUAAAAAUGCGGAGGCUCAAACUCCGUCGAGCCGUUGAAACUGCCGUUCUUGAGUGAGCGAGAAGUAUGCGGAAUGCGUGGUGUAGCGGUGAAAUGCAUAGAUAUCACGCAGAACUCCGAUUGCGAAGGCAGCAUACCGGCGCUCAACUGACGCUGAAGCACGAAGGCGUGGGUAUCGAACAGGAUUAGAUACC
RNAcentral lists this ribosomal RNA (439 nucleotides) under uncultured bacterium. Its description in RNAcentral is "bacterial SSU rRNA". It matches the Rfam family "Bacterial small subunit ribosomal RNA", at positions 355 to 786 of the family's 1533-position model. The record is from RNAcentral.